GCUAAACGCGAAGAACCUUACCUACUCUUGACAUCCAGAGAACUUAGCAGAGAUGCUUUGGUGCCUUCGGGAACUCUGAGACAGGUGCUGCAUGGCUGUCGUCAGCUCGUGUUGUGAAAUGUUGGGUUAAGUCCCGCAACGAGCGCAACCCUUGUCCUUAGUUACCAGCACGUUAUGGUGGGCACUCUAAGGAGACUGCCGGUGACAAACCGGAGGAAGGUGGGGAUGACGUCAAGUCAUCAUGGCCCUUACGGCCUGGGCUACACACGUGCUACAAUGGUCGGUACAGAGGGUUGCCAAACCGCAAGGUGGAGCCAAUCCCAGAAAGCCGAUCCCAGUCCGGAUCGGAGUCUGCAACUCGACUCCGUGAAGUCGGAAUCGCUAGUAAUCGCGGAUCAGCUAUGCCGCGGUGAAUACGUUCCCGGGUCUUGUACACACCG
This 440-nucleotide ribosomal RNA is filed under the name uncultured bacterium. Its description in RNAcentral is "bacterial SSU rRNA". It matches the Rfam family "Bacterial small subunit ribosomal RNA", at positions 954 to 1392 of the family's 1533-position model. The record is from RNAcentral.